Dioscorea cayenensis subsp. rotundata (Guinea yam) is the source of this 235-nucleotide long non-coding RNA. RefSeq lists it as uncharacterized. The transcript has 3 exons. Lineage: Eukaryota; Viridiplantae; Streptophyta; Magnoliopsida; Dioscoreales; Dioscoreaceae. The record is from RefSeq and is a predicted model, not a curated record.
CUCAGAAAUGACCAUUUCAAAAGUUCUUAUGUUCAUCCUGUUCAUCUUUUUCUGCACUAUUUCCAUACAAGGUACUAGAGCCAAAGCAUUGCAUCUCUAUCACAACAAUGGAGACUCAAACUUGAAGCAAAUAAAAGAGAUCGAUGAUUGGUUCGACUGCACCGACUUGUACUUACAAUGAGUGCAGAGGAUGUCGAUACCGGUGCCGCGCAGAACAAGUUCCGGUGGAUGCCAA